CAGUAGCUCAAUGAUAAUCUCGAAUUUCUAGGAAACCACACCGAAAGAUGAAAACUGAUCGAUUCAAAAACAGGAAUGUGGAUUUCGUUAAAAAAAAUUAUCCAGCUCGAUAUUUCUAUCCACGAAGAAGUUGAGUCCUGCUCGGUCUCAUUAUUUGUCGAUGAUCGAGCGUAAGCGAGCGAGUGUUGCUCCAGGGUGUUGUUCUCACAGGGAAGAAUGGAAGUGAAACGACUACGCAGGUGGACCGGAGGAAUUCAGGUGGGAAAGGUAGACGAGGGAACUCCCGCUGUCUCUCGUUUAGGCGAUCGAGAGAGAGAGAGAGAGAGAGAGAGAAAGAGCAGCGAGACGGGAAGAUACUGUCGAUAGAGUGAAACCGCCCAUGAGAGCCACAUUCCGAUGCCUGGUCGGUAGACUUUCAGGCGCCCAACUCGUUGCCCUGUACGUAGACGGGCCUUCUUCAUGGGUGUGUGUGCGCGCUCGUGUACGUGGAAAUCGAGCCCGUUCAUUCAGAAAGUCGUUUUACGUGUGGUUGGGCCAAGCACUAGCUUGCUCCAGUGCUCAAACAUGGGAGGGGAAUUCUUGACUGGUAUGCAGGGAUGUACAUGCGUGCUAACCGUGCCCCUAUCCUGGCUGUUGAUGGACCAUCGAGGCCCCCCUUCCCCCCCUCGUGGGGCUUCGCUCCCUAUUUUUCUUAGUUCUCAUAAAAAAAAAAAUGAAGUCUCGAAGACCGGAAAGGUAAAGCUAUGAGCAAGCACGACAAUUCUGGCCUGGACGAGGCUACUCGUCGAUGUUACCUUUGGAUACUGUGAAUAUGCCUGUCAAUUUCGUUACUUUUGUGGCUUACUCCAUUCGCUUAAAGGGGAUGAAGAUCGACGUUCCGGAAUCUGUGUUCAACGCGAAUAUUCGGAAGCGAGUUUUUCAACGGGAGUUUCGGAAAGUGCGGUUGAAACGUUCCUGCAAUUUCUAAAAUUUUGAAUAAACGCCGGAGACGCGGGAAAAAACGUAAAACUUUCUCAAACAAUGUGCUCGACGCCCAUCCCAUUUGAUUAAAUUAUAAAAUGAACGGAAGUGCGAUUCCAAGUGAAAGUCUCCAAUUUUUAUAGCUCAUUUGUCCAAUGUGAGAAAAUCAACGGCGGUCGUCGCUGUAGCGGCUUGAGGCGAGCACACUCGCCGAGAUCAUUGGCACGAGGAUCGCUCGAUUUUCCAUUUGUAAAUAAAAAAGGAAGGAGCCAUUGAAAUUCGACAUGCAUCGGGGUUAUUCAAUCGCCGUAGCGCGUUACUCCGUCGAUGUGUGACACAAAAGUUUACCGGCGGAUGUCGAAGACUAAAGCGAAGAAAGAACCAUCCCUUUUGCACCUUCCCGCAUUGUGAGCGGGAGAAUUUUCAGGAAUUCGCUUCGACAUUGUCACGUUUCUUUUCUACGGUCCUGAGUGAACUGUGUCGCAUCGUAAAAACUCACAAUAUCGUGCAUUGUGCGGACAUUUAUCGAGGUAACACUGCAUCGUGAGCGUUUUGCUGGCUCUGGAAUUCCGAAAACAACUCUUGUUUGGAGGGCAGAAUCGUUCGGUAUCGGGAAUUCGUUGGGUUUUAUCGAAAGCCCUGUGAAAAUGAGCUCCUGGUGCAUCCUCAUUUCCAAAAAUGUUUUCACUCCUUCUUCAAAUGAAUUUUGCUAUUUUAGCUCUGAAAUUAUUCAAGUUUUUUCACUAGAAUUAUCAGUUUUUCAGGAUUCCUCUCAAAGGCUUUACAUUCAGCCCGGAUUUGAAGUUUAGGUCGGUCCAGGUUUAUGACAUAAGCGUAGGCAGACCAGUCACGCAGGGCGCGUUUUAUUUCAUUUCUCAACUAUGUACCCGCCGGACAAAAGGCUGGAUGAGUUAUGAGUUUCACCGAGGCCACGUGACCGCCUUUUAUUCUCUCCUCUUUCGUUUCAUCCUUCUCGGACCGGCUGGAGAUGUCUUCACAAAAUUUGACACGACGAUUAUGUGAGCCAUUAUCUGCUUUUUCUAUAUCUGUAUGACGAAGCCACGGAAUUAUUUUGAUAAGGCUCAUCGUAACUCGUCGAGUACGAGACGCACAAGAAAUCGUGUAUACAAACAUUUUCUGCGUAAUUUCAACACGUUUGUAUAUUUAUGUCCUGCAUCCGAGUGCUUCGAGAAACACUCCGAUUUCAAAAAACUUUUCGACGCUUUUAUUCAACUUGCCGCAUACACGUGACAGAAAAAAAUCGAUUUUGUUUCAUUUCGAUGAAAGAGUCCAGCGUGCUAAAAAAACUAAAAAUUUCACCCUCAACCUUCGAUUUUCCCCAUUUCCAAGGGUAGUAAGGUGAAAAUUGAGUUUAAAAAUCGACUCAGUGACCCAAAAAACCAUUGUAUACCAAUUUUUGUCCAAAUCGGUUGAAAAUUGAAAAAGUUAUUUCAAUAUGUACAUAACAUGUUAUACAAAACCAGAAUGGGUCCGACUUUUUUUUGUACAUAUAUGAUCCAAUACCAGUCAACCGGUUAAGGAGGCUGGAUCGCGACGAUACAAUGUU
Molecule: long non-coding RNA, 2527 nt
Organism: Venturia canescens
Lineage: Eukaryota; Metazoa; Arthropoda; Insecta; Hymenoptera; Ichneumonidae
Exons: 3
Source: RefSeq, a predicted model, not a curated record